CUCAUUUCAAACCAUAAGUUUCCAUGUCUAAUUUUGAUUGUCCGUUUUAUUUAAAACUUUUUUACAAUUAGUAUUUUUAUUGUUAUAAUAUGAUAAAACAUGAAUUGUAUUUUAUGCGUGACUUAUGUUUUUAAUUUUUAUUAAUUUUUUUAAAAUAAAACGGAUGAUUGAAGUUGGGCAAGAAAAAUUAUGACUACACUUAAA
Oryza sativa Indica Group (long-grained rice) is the source of this 204-nucleotide microRNA precursor. It matches the Rfam family "MIR812 microRNA precursor family". Lineage: Eukaryota; Viridiplantae; Streptophyta; Magnoliopsida; Poales; Poaceae. The record is from Rfam.